CUUGAUUGCAAGAGAGUGGUCCAUGCGGUACUCUCGGGAGUAUUUGGAAGCGGUCAUCCUGAAGGCGGAGGGAGGGGCUUUACGCGUUGUGAACUGCAGCAGAAAGACGUAAUUUCAUACUCCGUGAAGAGAUACCCUGAAUGUGGCUGUGAUGCAGCCACUAUCGACUUUAUUUGCACGCAUAAACCAAAAUGAGCCAAGCAGAACCCCAGCUCAAGCUUUCGACUCCUCCCUCUGGCUGUGCAGAGCACUCAGACAGCUAUUGAAUGACCCAUCAGGAGUUCUUUCAAAAUGAAGUGUAAAUCUAUCCUGCAGAUGGUAUGGACUUCCUCCAGAGCCCCAGGAGGCUGCAUUGUGAUUCUCCAGCUGGGCCUUCAGAAUACGAUUCCUACUCAACUUGUGUGAAACUUAUAGGAUUUAAGAUAUAAUAUUGUAUGUUAAGUAGUUGAAAAAGAAGUCACAGUGGCCAGUGUGAACUUGCAUGUUAGUUGUUUUGAAACAUCUGCUGCAGGACUGCUAGUGUUACUUUAGAUUAGAAAUUUGACAAUGCACCUCACUGGGACAGGAAAAGCAAAUGAUAGAGACAAGACCUCCUGGGACAUAACCAUUACACUCAAGGACAGAAUCCUGGAAAAGAAACCACUGGGACUUCGUAGGUGGCGCAGUGGUUAACAAUCCACCUGCCAAUGCAGGGGACAUGGGUUUGAUCCCUGUUCCAGGAAGAUCCCACAUGCUACAGAGCAACUAAGCCCAUAAGCCACAGCUAUUGAGCCCAUGUGCCGAAGCUACUGAAGCCCUCACACCUUGAGCCCAUGCUCCACAACAAGAGACGCCACCUCAAUGAGAAGCCUGCACACCACAACAAAGAGUAACCCCCAUUCGCCGCAACUAGAGAAAGCCCAUGUGCAGCAACGAAGACCCAACGCAGCUGAAUAAAUAAAUAAAUAAAUUUAUUUUUAAAAAAAGAAAGAAAGAAACCACUGGAUAUCCCUGGCAAUCCAGCAGUUAAGACUCUGCACUUCCAAUGCAGUUCCCUGAUCCCUGGUCAGGGAACUAAGAUCCCACAUGCCUCUCGGUAUGGUAAAAAAUAAAAGAAAGAAAGAGAGGAAGGAAGGAAGGAAGGAA
Molecule: long non-coding RNA, 1125 nt
Organism: Hippopotamus amphibius kiboko
Lineage: Eukaryota; Metazoa; Chordata; Mammalia; Artiodactyla; Hippopotamidae
Exons: 3
Source: RefSeq, a predicted model, not a curated record